ACGGGAGGCAGCAGUGGGGAAUAUUGCACAAUGGGGGAAACCCUGAUGCAGCGACGCCGCGUGAGCGAAGAAGUAUUUCGGUAUGUAAAGCUCUAUCAGCAGGGAAGAAAAUGACGGUACCUGACUAAGAAGCACCGGCUAAAUACGUGCCAGCAGCCGCGGUAAUACGUAUGGUGCAAGCGUUAUCCGGAUUUACUGGGUGUAAAGGGAGCGUAGACGGAUGGGCAAGUCUGAUGUGAAAACCCGGGGCUCAACCCCGGGACUGCAUUGGAAACUGUUCAUCUAGAGUGCUGGAGAGGUAAGUGGAAUUCCUAGUGUAGCGGUGAAAUGCGUAGAUAUUAGGAGGAACACCAGUGGCGAAGGCGGCUUACUGGACAGUAACUGACGUUGAGGCUCGAAAGCGUGGGGAGCAAACAGGAUUAGAUACCCUGGUAGUCCACGCCGUAAACGAUGACUAUUAGGUGUCGGGUGGCAAAGCCAUUCGGUGCC
Molecule: ribosomal RNA, 489 nt
Filed under: uncultured bacterium
Lineage: Bacteria
Description: bacterial SSU rRNA
Rfam family: Bacterial small subunit ribosomal RNA
Source: RNAcentral